GUCGCGGGUGUCUCCA
RNAcentral lists this ribosomal RNA (16 nucleotides) under Ficus ottoniifolia subsp. ottoniifolia. RNAcentral describes it as "partial 28S ribosomal RNA". Lineage: Eukaryota; Viridiplantae; Streptophyta; Magnoliopsida; Rosales; Moraceae. The record is from RNAcentral.